Long non-coding RNA from Ictalurus punctatus (channel catfish), 1900 nucleotides. NCBI's taxonomy places the organism in Eukaryota, Metazoa, Chordata, Actinopteri, Siluriformes, Ictaluridae. The record is from Ensembl.
UAUAUAUAUACUUUUUCCACCAUUGGCCUUGAGGAAUCUUGCACAGGCCUUGUUGCAUCUUGCACAGGCUUUAGAGAUGGACAUUAGACCGAAGGCCACAUUCAUUGACUACAUGACAUACUAACACACUCUCUUUGUAAAACAUGUCCAGUGAUGUCAACUGAUUUUGUGAACAUUUUAAACAUUUUUAAGACUGGUCACAAGCAGGUGAGCUCUUGCUGCAUAUGGGGAGGAGCUAUUUCCUAAAUGGGUUGUAUUAAAAUCGCAUGACACUGAGCUCACAUGAAUGAACAUGUGUAUGCUUAAACUCUGAUGCCUUGUUCUGCUGGCUCACUGAAUGUAGUGGUGGGGGCAAAUGGUUCAGGAGCAUGUGUUCUCCAAAUUUCAGCCUGUAGUCCUGCUUAAGUUUAAACAUGAAACCAUUGCCUAGGCUACACACAUGUGGGACAUGAGUUUGUUCAUUUUUUAAAAUACAUUUUGCACUGCCUGUCUGCUCAACCAUUUGUUGUCUUUUUUCUGUAAUGAUGCACUAAUGUGCAAAAAUUAUCAAAGAAAAUCAAUUGUUUUGUUUAAAGUACCAAAAUUUGGUUUCCCUCUGCCAAAAUAUUUUCAGUUAAUCAGAUCCGCCAGAUUUCAUCACAUCUUUUAUUACCUGGGGAAAUGGAAAAGAUAUGAUUGGUAACUGUUGUUUCCAUUUCCAAAAAUAUGAAGAGAUUUGAUCUAGUCAAAUUUACUGGCAUAACAUUUUACACCAAAUAAGAAUACUACAAAAGUGGUACAGUAUGAUGUGUAAUGCUAACACCAUCUUACCUCAUUUUAAUAUUUGUAUGUGGCAUUUCCUGUUGUGUUUACAAACAUCAUGGUCCUGCUCACUUGUUUCCCACACUGUUUCCCUUUUGGCCAUUUUGGCAUAAACAUUCACAGUUUUAAUCUAAUUAGACAGUGGUUCAGGAAAUUGUAUCUUAUUAUGUGGUCAUUCUUUUCAUUUGUGCUAAUUGUUACACUUUACAUGUUCUAUACCUUUCUAUUCCUUGUUCAAAAAUAUAUCAAAUUAAUUUAUUAUAUUGAUACAUAUUUAUUCAUUGUAUUUUUAUUUUAUAAGUUUUUGUAUGAGGGGUUUGUGUUCUCACAGUCAAAUGAUUGAAGAAGUGCGUGUGUGUGUCUGUCUGUAAGUGAAAACAUAUUUGCAACUUGACUGAAGCAUGUGAAGCUUACUGGCCAUUGAUCCAAGGUUUGUUAUGAUCAGCUUAGCUUAAAUUAAGUUUUUCGAAUGGCCCAGUAUUCCACUUUCUUUGCUUAUUACUCCUGACUUGAGGUAUUUUAAUUCUAGAAUAAGUUUAGUGUAGGGGAAGAUAUUUGUUUAAUAAGGAAAAACACCUUCUGGUUUGAUGUAUAACCUAAUGAAAGCACUCCACUGACAUAAAACUGAAACUGGUUGUUCAAAUUUCUCUAUGUAGUUUUCUUUUUAGGAUUGUAAAUAAAAAAAUAUAUAUAAUGCUUUAAGAAUGGUAAUACAUGACUGUGUACUUGUGCAAAACAGUACUAGCUUGUACUUUAUUAAUAGAGAACAGCACAUAUGUAUUUUUUUAUCUUGUUUUUGAAGUUUGCUUCAAAUGAAGAAACAUGUAUGAAGUUCAUUAUAUUAUAUAAAAGCCUAACUAUAGACUAUUAAUAACGGGAUAUAAAUAGAACAUAAGUGCUAUAGAAUUACUGUUAACUCAAACAACUAGAUGAAUUUCCCUUCUCAUAAAGCUUCAGUUGUUUGAGUUGACAGUAAUUCUAUAGCAAUUAUUAUGUUUUAUUUAUAUCCCGUUGUUAACAGUCUGUGGUCAGGCUAUUAUGUAAUGUGUGUAUAUUUGUGUGUGUGUGUGUGUGUGUGUGUGUGUGUGUGUGUGUGUGU